CCCUUAGAUGUCCUGGGCCGCACGCGCGCUACACUGAUGCAUGCAACGAGUUUAUAACCUUGGCCUGAAAGGUCUGGGUAAUCUUUUGAACGUGCAUCGUGAUAGGGAUAGAUUAUUGCAAUUGUUAAUCUUGAACGAGGAAUUCCUAGUAAACGCGAGUCAUCAGCUCGCAUUGAUUACGUCCCUGCCCUUUGUACACACCGCCCGUCGCACCUACCGAUUGAAUGGUUCGGUGAAGAUCUCGGACUUCGAUAUUUAUUCUUUAUUGAGUUUAUAUUGUGGGAAGUUAUCUAAACCUCAUCAUUUAGAGGAGGGUGAAGUCGUAACA
RNAcentral lists this ribosomal RNA (328 nucleotides) under uncultured eukaryote. RNAcentral's name for it is "partial 18S ribosomal RNA". It matches the Rfam family "Eukaryotic small subunit ribosomal RNA", at positions 1470 to 1796 of the family's 1831-position model. The record is from RNAcentral.